RNAcentral lists this long non-coding RNA (274 nucleotides) under Homo sapiens (human). RNAcentral describes it as "non-protein coding lnc-NR2F2-11:1". Lineage: Eukaryota; Metazoa; Chordata; Mammalia; Primates; Hominidae. The record is from RNAcentral.
ACACCAGCCUUGUGAUGGUGUAUCUUGCUGCCAAAUGCCUUUUUAAUUUUUCUUUCCCUCUGUAAGAUACUAUUUACCAGUGUCCAAUCACAGGUUUGUUAAAAGUUUCACAACUUUCCUUUUGAUAGUGAUGCUGAAAUUAUGUUCCAAAUGACUGAAGAAGUCAAGACGUUAAAUAACCUGGACAUCAUUGAAGAGGAAAAAAAAUUAUUUAAUAAUUGACUACUCUUUCUAUUGUUACUUUAUUUUCAAGUUCUGUGGAAAUAGGCUCCCU